GAUGAACGCUGGCGGCGUGCCAAUACAUGCAAGUCGAGCGAAUGGAUUAAGAGCUUGCUCUUAUGAAGUUAGCGGCGGACGGGUGAGUAACACGUGGGUAACCUGCCCAUAAGACUGGGAUAACUCCGGGAAACCGGGGCUAAUACCGGAUAACAUUUUGAAACGCAUGGUUCGAAAUUGAAAGGCGGCUUCGGCUGUCACUUAUGGAUGGACCCGCGUCGCAUUAGCUAGUUGGUGAGGUAACGGCUCACCAAGGCAACGAUGCGUAGCCGACCUGAGAGGGUGAUCGGCCACACUGGGACUGAGACACGGCCCAGACUCCUACGGGAGGCAGCAGUAGGGAAUCUUCCGCAAUGGACGAAAGUCUGACGGAGCAACGCCGCGUGAGUGAUGAAGGCUUUCGGGUCGUAAAACUCUGUUGUUAGGGAAGAACAAGUGCUAGUUGAAUAAGCUGGCACCUUGACGGUACCUAACCAGAAAGCCACGGCUAACUACGUGCCAGCCGCCGCGGUAA
RNAcentral lists this ribosomal RNA (514 nucleotides) under uncultured bacterium. Its description in RNAcentral is "partial 16S ribosomal RNA". It matches the Rfam family "Bacterial small subunit ribosomal RNA", at positions 28 to 523 of the family's 1533-position model. The record is from RNAcentral.